ACACUAACAACCAGGUAAUUAUUAUGUAACUACUAGAUGAAAUGACCUAAGACAUUUGACUAUGUGUGUCUUUAAUAUAAGCAGGGUGACGUGGGUCAUUGGAAGCUCUGUGAUGCAACCUCACAUCAUGAUCAAAGACGCUUCUAAUAGGCCCCUAUUGUUUCCCGGAUAUUCACACUUAAAAACUGUACAUGAUGAUGCCUACCUUCCCCUCAGUCUUUUAUAGUGUCAGAUAGGCCUAGAGAAUCACAAAAGGCUACAAGUCACAUCAUGGGUCCCAUCUUUCGUAUGAUAUGUGAGUAUCUUUACAAAUACAGAUUAGAGUAAGCAUAUGGUCUCAAAAUGAUCCGUACAUACAGUACGUACUCAGUAUGCAGUCAAUCUACUACUAAUAGUUGUAUGUUUUAUGGAUUUCUAUUGAAACUGCCUGUUGUGUAAAUCUCCCAUUAUUUCUACACAGUCACAGUAACAGCAGGUGUACUGGCCAUCUCAGAGGAAAUAGCUGUCUACCCCGCCAUGCUUUUUGGAUCAAAGGCUCAAGUUAGAAAGGGAGACACUAUAGAUUUGAAGUGUAAUAUCUCUGGCAUCAUAAGAUUCUGGGACAAGGUUCAUGUGUACAUUUACAAGAAUGGAGUUGAGAUGGCAAUGAAGGUUUUGGAGAAAGGUGAAGAUGACGCUAUUUUCACCAUGAAGGAUGUUACAAGAGAAGACUCAGGCAACUACAGCUGUGUGUACACCAGAGAUAAACUUCUACUGGAUCAAGUGAAAUCAGCAGGCAAGAAUUUAGUAGCCAUCUGUGUCUAUGAAGAGGCUGCACAUGAUGUGAUACUGGUCAAUGUAAUCCGACUGAUAAGUUCAGCUGUUGUGGUCAUACUUCUGCUGACUGUAGUGGCUGUUAGUUCAUGCUGUUCAAAAAGAGGAGCUUUACAAUGUUAUUGUGGAAGAACACCACAACAGGAGGAGAACGAUGUGCCAAUGACAGAGGAGGGUGACGGUAUGUUUUUUAAGCUUUCCGCUAAAACUAUUGUUCUAUUAAUGAACCUUUAUUUCACAUUCUGGGAUAUUUCUUUGUCUUAGACGGAACUUCAAACAUGGAGGAAGAAUCCAGUGAUGAAUUUGCUUAUGAAAGUGUUGCAGGUAAGACCAAAAACAAAUGUGGGAUAAUGUUUAGCUGUAAGUGUGUUUUAAAAUACUGACCAGGCUGAUACUAAGUAAAUGGUCAUUAAAUUAGUUUGUUAAAAGUUUAGUUUUUUCCAUUUGAUGUGAGGUUGGACUUAAGCACAUAUAGCUUGUUAGCAUGUAGGGCCCACCGAUUGCUGCCACCUCGUUAUUUAGUUUGGGCUCCCGAGUGGCACAGCAGUCUACGGCACUGCAUCUCAGUGCUAGAGGCGUCACUACAGACCCUGGUUUGAUUCCAGGCUGUAUCACAACUGGCUGUGAUUGGGAGUCCCAUAGGGCAGCGCACAAUUGUCCCAGCGUCAUCUGGGUUAGGGUUUGCCGCCAUUGUAAAUAAGAAUUUGUUCUUAACUGACCUGCCUAUUUAAAUAAAGGUUAAAUAAAAAAAUUAAAAAGUAUGUGUUACACCUGUGCUGGUUGCCAUCUCGUUCGUGGGAAGGUGUUUCACCUGGUGCUAUUUAAGAGUGGCUGACCCAGUGCUCUAGUUGUCUUGAGAGAUGUGAAGGGUUAGCACCUUUAGUUGGCUCUCCCUAGUUUGAUUUCUAGACAAACCAUCCUUUAUCCCUGUUUUUGUUUCACUCCACUUUUUGGUUGGCUCCCUGUUUGGUGUGGGUUUUUCUUUUGUUUGCCUCUUCUUGGGCAAAUUUAGUGGGCAUUCAUGGUGGCUGUCUUUUAGAUUCCCAUUGUUGCUAGUCAACUUUCAGUGGACACACCCGUGUGUCUUUCAGAACCCCUCUUAAAACCCCACCUGUUUCAUUUACAUUGUUGGUCAGGGACAUUUUAGAUUUUCUUGCUAGGGAACUUAACAAGUUUCAUUGCCUUGCUUUAAAACAGUCUACAUUUCUUAUUGUGAUCAUUUUCAUCUUAGCCACCAAACAGGUGGGGUGGUGUACCAGAAUGUGUAUGAGAACUGCUUAGAUAAUAUGAUGCAUAAAAAUGUACUCAUUACGAUGUUAAUAAUAAUAAUAUGUUUUUUCAUUCUUACAUUUGCAAUACUGGGUAAAUUAAAAACUUG
This 2191-nucleotide long non-coding RNA is filed under the name Salmo salar (Atlantic salmon). Its description in RNAcentral is "lncRNA (ENSSSAG00000119271.1)". The record is from RNAcentral. Lineage: Eukaryota; Metazoa; Chordata; Actinopteri; Salmoniformes; Salmonidae.